This 504-nucleotide ribosomal RNA is filed under the name uncultured Glomus. RNAcentral describes it as "SSU rRNA". It matches the Rfam family "Eukaryotic small subunit ribosomal RNA", at positions 569 to 1075 of the family's 1831-position model. The record is from RNAcentral. Lineage: Eukaryota; Fungi; Glomeromycota; Glomeromycetes; Glomerales; Glomeraceae.
AGCAGCCGCGGUAAUUCCAGCUCCAAUAGCGUAUAUUAAAGUUGUUGCAGUUAAAAAGCUCGUAGUUGAAUUUCGGGGUUAGUAGAUUGGUCAUGCCUCUGGUAUGCACUGGUCUUACUGAUUCCUCCUUCCUGAUGAACCGUAAUGCCAUUAAUUUGGUGUUGCGGGGAAACUGGACUGUUACUUUGAAAAAUUAGAGUGUUUAAAGCAGGCUAACGCUUGAAUACAUUAGCAUGGAAUAAUGAAAUAGGACGUUCGAUCUUAUUUUGUUGGUUUUUAGGAUUGACGUAAUGAUUAAUAGGGAUAGUUGGGGGCAUUAGUAUUCAAUUGUCAGAGGUGAAAUUCUUGGAUUUAUUGAAGACUAACUACUGCGAAAGCAUUUUUGCCAAGGAUGUUUUCAUUAAUCAAGAACGAAAGUUAGGGGAUCGAAGACGAUCAGAUACCGUCGUAGUCUUAACCAUAAACUAUGCCGAACUAGGGAUCGGAUGAUGUUAAUUUUUAAUG